This 465-nucleotide ribosomal RNA is filed under the name uncultured bacterium. RNAcentral describes it as "partial 16S ribosomal RNA". It matches the Rfam family "Bacterial small subunit ribosomal RNA", at positions 28 to 507 of the family's 1533-position model. The record is from RNAcentral.
GACGAACGCUGGCGGCGUGCUUAACACAUGCAAGUCGAACGGAAAGGCCCUGCUUGCAGGGUACUCGAGUGGCGAACGGGUGAGUAACACGUGGGUGAUCUGCCCUGCACUUCGGGAUAAGCCUGGGAAACUGGGUCUAAUACCGGAUAGGAGCCAUUUUUAGUGUGAUGGUUGGAAAGUUUUUUCGGUGUAGGAUGAGCUCGCGGCCUAUCAGCUUGUUGGUGGGGUAAUGGCCUACCAAGGCGGCGACGGGUAGCCGGCCUGAGAGGGUGGACGGCCACAUUGGGGCUGGGAUACGGCCCAGACUCCCACGGGAGGCAGCAGUGGGGAAUAUUGCACAAUGGGCGCAAGCCUGGUGCAGCGACGCCGCGUGGGGGAUGACGGCCUUCGGGUUGUAAACUCCUUUCGCUAGGGACGAAGCUUUUUGUGACGGUACCUAGAUAAGAAGCACCGGCUAACUACGUG